Molecule: ribosomal RNA, 443 nt
Filed under: uncultured bacterium
Lineage: Bacteria
Description: partial 16S ribosomal RNA
Rfam family: Bacterial small subunit ribosomal RNA
Source: RNAcentral
CCUACGGGGGGCAGCAGUGGGGAAUAUUGGGCAAUGGAGGCAACUCUGACCCAGCAACGCCGCGUGAAUGAUGAAGGUCUUCGGAUUGUAAAGUUCUGUGAUGGGGGAUGAACACAAUGACGGUACCCCAAUAGCAAGCCACGGCUAACUACGUGCCAGCAGCCGCGGUAAUACGUAGGUGGCAAGCGUUAUCCGGAAUGACUGGGUGUAAAGGGCGCGUGGGCGGUUUAGUAAGUUGGCGGUGUAAUUCCGGGGCUCAACCUCGGCGCUGCAGUCAAAACUAUUAGUCUAGAGUGCCGGAGGGGCAAGCGGAAUUCCGAGUGUAGCGGUGGAAUGCGUAGAUAUUAGGAGGAACACCAGUGGCGAAGGCGACUUGCUGGACGGCAACUGACGGUGAGGCGCGAAGGCGUGGGGAGCAAACAGGAUUAGAUACCCCAGUAGUC